Molecule: long non-coding RNA, 4100 nt
Organism: Homo sapiens (human)
Lineage: Eukaryota; Metazoa; Chordata; Mammalia; Primates; Hominidae
Exons: 2
Source: RefSeq, a predicted model, not a curated record
UUCAGUCUCUUUUCUACAGACUGUGAUUGCACGUCUGACUUGUCUCCCCAGCCCUGCACAGUGCCUGGCAUGCAGAAGUGCUCAGUAAGUGUGGUGAAUGAAUGAAGGCUUGCCUGAAUGUGUAGUGGGCAGUUCUGGGAGAGGGUCCACCGGGCGGGCCUCUGGAAUCUCACCUUCCACUAGGGGGAGCUCUCACCUUGAGUCCAGCCACCACCACGCUGGAUGCUACGAAUUCAGUUUCCCUGGACACAACUCAAACCUAUAUCCCCUUUUCUUCUCAGCACAGCUGAGGCAGGCUGGCAUUUCCAGAGGGCUAGGGUGGGAGGGGGAGCAGUAGGGAAAUGAACACAUACCCUGUCCGGCUCACAGAGUUCAGGUUUCUCUUCUACCACGGUUGGCCCCACAUGGAAUCCGAACAGGAGGAAGAGACAGGUUCAGGACAAAAGGCUGGGAUUUCAGCCCUUACUCCCUGCCUCCAGGAAACUUCUCUCAGAGGCUUUCACCCAUCAUCCCCUCAUGGACUCUGCAGCCACUUUGCCAAGAGAGGGUGGCAGCUGUCUCUAUAAGGGCCCUUUCAUCAUCCUUACAGUGCAAACAAAAACACAGCCAUCCCUCGGCAUCUCUGGGGGAUUGGAUCCAGGACCCCUAGCGAAUAGCAAAAUCCAAGCAUGCUCAAAAGUCCCUUAUAUAAAAUGGUGUAGUAUUUGCCUAUAACCUAUACACAUCCUCCCAUAUACUUUAAAUCAGCUCUAGAUUACUCAUAAUACCUGGUACAAUGUAAAUGCUGUGUAAAUGGUUGUAAUACUGCAUUAUUUAGGAAUAACAAGAAAAAGGUGUACAUGUUCAGUGCUGACACUACUCUCCAUUUUCUUUUUUUCUGAGUAUUUUUGAUCUGCAGUUGGUUGACUCCACGGAUGCAGAACCCAUGGAUGGAUACAGAGGGUUGACUGUAUAAGAAGUUUUCUAUAAAUGUCUGCUGUGGACUGAACUGAUGGAAUAAGCAUCCAAAAGGAAUGCCACCGGCUGAAAUGCUGACCCUCAUCACCAAGAUAAAACAUUGCAGGGAUGCAUGAAAAUUACAUUUGGGGAGUAAAUAGGCAGCCCAAGUACAGAGUGAAGAAGACCUGCUUAGAGGUGGCACACAUGAAAACAACUCAAAGGUUUACUUGCCCAUCUGAAUAUUCAUCCAUCCAUCCAUCCAUCCAUCCAUCCAUCCAUCCAUCCAUCCAUCCAACCAUCCAACCCCCUCUUGCCCUCAGAAGUUUAACCACCAGGAUUGAGCCCCUCUGUGUCCCAUGCCAACCUCCUAAGGUCAGAUGGGUUGGCUGUGCCCACUGUGUAAGAGGGGGUAGGCCAGGUUCAGGGAGGACACACAGACAAUUCCUCACCCCUCCACCCCCAUUCCCUGCUGGUCAGACCAGUUCCAGGGAUCAGUAUUUAAUACCUGGCCCUCAGAAUGGGAGGGAGAUGGCAAUGUGUGUGUGCGUGUGUGUGUGUUUCUUCAGGAACACCUUUUUUUUUUUUUGAGAUGGAAUCUCGCUCAGUCGCCCAUGCUGGAGUGCAGUGGCACAAUCUCAGAUCGCUGCAACCUCCGCCUCCCCAGUUCAAGCAAUUCUCCUGCCUCAGCCUCCUGAGUAGCUGGGACUACAGGUGCCCACCACCAUGCCCAGCUAAUUUGUGUAUUUUUAGUAGAGAUGGGGUUUCCCAUAUUGGCCAGGCUGGUCUCAAACUCCUGACCUUGUGAUCUGCCCACCUUGGCCUCCGAAAGUGCUGGGAUUACAGGUGUGAGCCACUGUGCCCGGCCCAGGGACUUUUCUUUAAAAAUAGACUUACAUUUAUUUUUUAUUUUUUAUUUUAUUUUUGAGAUGAAGUUUUACUCUUGUUGCCAAGGCUGGAGUGCAAUGGUGCGACCUCGGUCCACUGCAACCUCUGCCUCCUGGGAUCUAGCGAUUCUCCGGCCUCAGCCUCCUGAGUAGCUGGGAUUACAGGCACCCACCACCACGCCUGGCUAAUUUUUUGUAUUUUUAGUGGAGAUGGGGUUUCACCAUGUUGGCCAGGCUGGUCUUGAACUCCUGACCUCAGGUGAUCCACCCACCUCGGCCUCCCAAAGUGCUGGGAUUACAGGCGUGAGCCACCCUGACUGGGUAACAGACUUUUUUUUUUUUUAAAAGAGCAAUUUUAGGCUCACAAUCAGAUUGAGUGGAAGGUACAGACAGUCUAUGGGAAAUAGACUCCCUACCUCCACAUAGGUAUGGCCUCUCCCACUAUUAAAAAUCCCGUACUAAAAAUAAAAAACAUUCUACACCAGAGGCGUCCAUUUGUGGUAGUUGGUGAACACACACUGACACACUGCGACUGGUCUGUAGGUAAGUGGGGUUGUUUGAUGUUGGUGUGAGGGCUUGCUCUGAGCUGGCCAUUGUGACAAUGCUUUCCCACAGCUACUGAUCAAUGGAGUCAAGACUUGAAACCAGGUUUGCCCGACUCUGAAGCCCAGGCUCCUAACAGCUGUGUUGCUAAGUGGCCUGAUGACGAUAGCAUAGGUUUAAAUAUCUGAAAAAGUGGUUUGGUGAGGAGUAGCCAUCUUCCAAUAUUUGAAGGACUAUCCCAAGAAGGCUAGAUGGAGUUAUUCUGUGUAGCUUCCCAGGGAAAUACCUAGACCAGUGGGUGAAGCGUAGGGGAGGGAAAUUUUGUCCGCAUAGAAGGGUAGCCCUGUGGCAUCAGGGCUUACUUUGAGAGGUAAUGAAUUGCCCAGCACCAGAGGCUGGGCACAUUUGAAGGAAAACCCCUGUCUUGGGGAAGGUUGGGCUUCACCACCUGAAAGGUCUCUUUUAUUUUGAUUUAUUUAUUUUAAGACACAAGAUCUCACUCUGUCGCUUAUCCUGGGGUGCAAUGGUACAAUUAGAACUCACUGCAGCCUCCAACUCCUGGGCUCAAGCGAUCCUCCCACCUCAGCCUCCCAAGUAGCUGGGACCACAGGUGUUCACCACACCUGGAUAAUUUUUUCAUUCUUUGUAGAGAUGCAAGUCUCGCUAUGUCACUCAGGCUAGUUUCAAACUCCCGGUCUCAAGCGAUCCUCCCACCUCAGGUCCCCAAAGUGUUGGGAUUACAGGCAGGAGCCACCACGCCCAGCUAAAAGGCCUCUUUUGACUCUCAUUUUGAUCAGUUCAAUUUGGUUCAGCCUCUGUUGAGCACCCACUCUGUGCUAGCUCUGGGCUGGGUACUGGGGAUGAGUAACACACGAUCCCAGUGCUUGCUUCGGCAGCACAUGUACUAAAAUUGCAACGAUACAGAGACGAUUAGCAUGGCCCUGUGCAAAGAUGACAUGCAAAUUUGUGAAGCAUCACAUUAAAAAAGAAAAAGACAAGAUCCCAGUCCUCAAGGGGCUGCCAGCCUAGGUUGGAAGGCAGCUUGUGCCGUUCUGUUACUUGCUGUCCCUUUUUGCCCUGGAUGCCGUGGGGGCUUUCAGGGAUGAGGGUCCCAGGAGUGUUGCAAAAUGAAAAGAAGCUGGCUACUGAGGGGAUGGUGGGUGUGAGCAGGAGGUCAGGCUGGGGGACCCUGGCCAGCUAGUCUCUGGGUCAGUCAUCCCCAAGGAGGUCUUUACUCACUGUGGAAUGGAAGAGGCCUUCGUUAGGGAUCUUCAGGCCCGUACUCAGGCAGAGAGCGGAGGACUCAAAGAGCACAGGCCCUGCCACCCUCCCCUUCCGCCUCUCCCCGAGGGUCCUCCCUCAUCUGCCUAACGGGGAUAUAGGGGAACUGCCACCUUCCUUCAUGAAGCACAUUCACUUCUCCUAGGUUGACAGCAACAUGGAGCCAGGAGCUCCACUCAGAGAGGGCUAUGGGACCUCCAGCCUGGGCUCUUUCAUAAUCCCUCUUCCCCUUCUGACAGGUGCCCAGGGAACAAGCGCCUAUAGGUGGUCUAAACCCCAAAAACCUGCUUCACGAGGAUUACGGGUGUGGCUCCAUCCUGCCCCCUACUUGCCUCAGGUGGUGACCUCCAUUGCAGUCACUGUCAUCCGGGAUCCCAAGUCUCACAGGUGACGAUGAUGAUGAAUAUGAAAGUGAUGGAUGACAACAAUAAAUAGCAUUGUUCGGCACUCAAA